Non-coding RNA from Meleagris gallopavo (turkey), 1299 nucleotides. The record is from RefSeq and is a predicted model, not a curated record. Lineage: Eukaryota; Metazoa; Chordata; Aves; Galliformes; Phasianidae.
CAUAAAACUACUGGGAUAUGUGACCUUGUUUAUGUGAAACUAAUGCAUCAAUCUGGUUCAGAGAUGGUGGUUGCAAUUCUUAGUUAGCUCUCAAGGAGUUCAUCAGAGGUUUUUAUGACAUUUUACUCUUCCUGUGCUUCAUCCUUAAAAAUGGUUGUUCACAAAUGUAUGUACUGCCAAAAAGCAAUGACAUGAAUAAGGUGUGAUUGUGAACCUUUUCCUAACGCUCACACUGACCCUCCUCUGACAGAGCUCAUGCUGUUCCUUUGGUCCCAUUGCUGUCACCAGAGGGAAGAGCUCAGCACUGCCCUUCUGCUUCCCUCACGAGGUCUCCCCUCAGUAUCCUCUUCUCUUGACUGAACAAACCAAGCAACCUCAGCAGCUCUUCAUACCACUUGCCCUCCAGACCCUUCAUCAUGUUGCUGGUUGAUGCCAUUUAUCUGACCUCUGCUAGGUGUACUACCAACACAAGGCUCACUUGAGAAACGUUCAGGAAAAGAGGAAGAGGAGGAAGUGGUGUUGAGCUUGUCUUAACUCUGGAUCAAGCUAUGAUGGCAAGGGUUUAACCAAGCUUGAAAAUGGCAGCUUGACCUCUGGAAUCCCCUUCAGCAGGCAGUGGGUUGACACAGGAGAAAGCAAGGACAUGAAGCCAUCAGGAUCACCACUACCACCACAGAAAGUUCCGAGAAGAAGAUGCAGACAAGCCAUUUGCUACUGACUCCACCAGUCUUCUCAUUCAGCAGAAUGGUCUGAUGAGAAAGGGAGUGCACAAGCUCCACCUAAAAGACUCAGCAUGUGGCUGCAGCCUCACCCAGCCAUAUUGUUGACCACAGACAUUUUCUUCUUGGACCCCCUUUGAAGACAGUGGCAUCAACCCUUGAGUGUGUCAUGAUGCUACUUGGCAGAGUCCAUAUCUGCAGCCACGUGUCAUGUCAUUCUAUUUAGAAAUGCCAGGAUCUAUCCCCAUCCUGCAUCUGUGGCCUCCAGAUUGUCAGUUCAUCCCAUCAAAAAUAUGCAUGUGGAAAUCAAAGUUAAGACCUUUAGGCACAGCCAAAGGUUCUAACCUUGUCUGUUGAAGAGGCAAAGAAAUACAGUUUUCUCAGUGGUGUUGAAGAAAUGUUACCAGAAAGGGAAGAAAGGGAAUUUGGUUGUUAGAAUAUCUUUCUCACUUUCAGUAUAUGGGGGAUUUUUAAAUCUUACUCCCCAUCUUAUGUUAUUAUGUCUUAUUCUCCGCCUUAUCUAUUUUAAAAAACAUAUAUUCAACAGUUAACAGGAAAGAAAUGCACACAAAAAAAAAAA